This 253-nucleotide ribosomal RNA is filed under the name uncultured bacterium. RNAcentral's name for it is "partial 16S ribosomal RNA". It matches the Rfam family "Bacterial small subunit ribosomal RNA", at positions 524 to 776 of the family's 1533-position model. The record is from RNAcentral.
UACGUAGGGAGCAAGCGUUGUCCGGAAUCAUUGGGCGUAAAGCGCGCGUAGGCGGCCCGAUAAGUCCGCUGUGAAAGUCAACGGCUCAACUGUUGGAUGCCGGUGGAUACUGUCGGGCUAGAGUACGGAAGAGGCAAGUGGAAUUCCUGGUGUAGCGGUGGAAUGCGUAGAUAUCGGGAGGAACACCAGUGGCGAAGGCGGCCUGCUGGGACAUGGCUGACGCUGAGGCGCGACAGCGUGGGGAGCAAACAGG